RNAcentral lists this ribosomal RNA (1749 nucleotides) under Staphylococcus pseudintermedius. Its description in RNAcentral is "partial 23S ribosomal RNA". It matches the Rfam family "Bacterial large subunit ribosomal RNA", at positions 1149 to 2903 of the family's 2925-position model. The record is from RNAcentral. Lineage: Bacteria; Bacillati; Bacillota; Bacilli; Caryophanales; Staphylococcaceae.
UCGAGUGACACUGCGCCGAAAAUGUACCGGGGCUAAACAUAUUACCGAAGCUGUGGAUUGUCCUUUGGACAAUGGUAGGAGAGCGUUCUAAGGGCGUUGAAGCAUGAUCGCAAGGACAUGUGGAGCGCUUAGAAGUGAGAAUGCCGGUGUGAGUAGCGAAAGACGGGUGAGAAUCCCGUCCACCGAUUGACUAAGGUUUCCAGAGGAAGGCUCGUCCGCUCUGGGUUAGUCGGGUCCUAAGCUGAGGCCGACAGGCGUAGGCGAUGGAUAACAGGUUGAUAUUCCUGUACCACCAUUAUUCGUUUUAAGCGAUGGGGGGACGCAGUAGGAUAGGCGAAGCGUGCUGUUGGAGUGCACGUCCAAGCAGUGAGAUUGAGUGUUAGGCAAAUCCGGCACUCUUAAGAUUGAGCUGUGAUGGGGAGAGGAACUUGUUCCUCGAGUCGUUGAUUUCACACUGCCGAGAAAAGCCUCUAGCUAGAAUAACGGUGCCCGUACCGCAAACCGACACAGGUAGUCAAGAUGAGAAUUCUAAGGUGAGCGAGCGAACUCUCGUUAAGGAACUCGGCAAAAUGACCCCGUAACUUCGGGAGAAGGGGUGCUCUUUGAGGUUCACGCUUCGAAGAGCCGCAGUGAAUAGGCCCAAGCGACUGUUUAUCAAAAACACAGGUCUCUGCUAAACCGUAAGGUGACGUAUAGGGGCUGACGCCUGCCCGGUGCUGGAAGGUUAAGAGGAGUGGUUAGCGCAAGCGAAGCUACGAAUCGAAGCCCCAGUAAACGGCGGCCGUAACUAUAACGGUCCUAAGGUAGCGAAAUUCCUUGUCGGGUAAGUUCCGACCCGCACGAAAGGCGUAACGAUUUGGGCACUGUCUCAACGAGAGACUCGGUGAAAUCAUAGUACCGGUGAAGAUGCCGGUUACCCGCGACAGGACGGAAAGACCCCGUGGAGCUUUACUGUAGCCUGAUAUUGAAAUUCGGUACAGUUUGUACAGGAUAGGUAGGAGCCUUAGAAGCGUGAGCGCUAGCUUACGUGGAGGCAUUGGUGGGAUACUACCCUAAUUGUAUUGGAUUUCUAACCCGCAGCACUUAUCGUGCUGGGAGACAGUGUCAGGCGGGCAGUUUGACUGGGGCGGUCGCCUCCUAAAGAGUAACGGAGGCGCUCAAAGGUUCCCUCAGAAUGGUUGGAAAUCAUUCAUAGAGUGUAAAGGCAUAAGGGAGCUUGACUGCGAGACCUACAAGUCGAGCAGGGUCGAAAGACGGACUUAGUGAUCCGGUGGUUCCGCAUGGAAGGGCCAUCGCUCAACGGAUAAAAGCUACCCCGGGGAUAACAGGCUUAUCUCCCCCAAGAGUUCACAUCGACGGGGAGGUUUGGCACCUCGAUGUCGGCUCAUCGCAUCCUGGGGCUGUAGUCGGUCCCAAGGGUUGGGCUGUUCGCCCAUUAAAGCGGUACGCGAGCUGGGUUCAGAACGUCGUGAGACAGUUCGGUCCCUAUCCGUCGUGGGCGUAGGAAAUUUGAGAGGAGCUGUCCUUAGUACGAGAGGACCGGGAUGGACAUACCUCUGGUGUACCAGUUGUCGUGCCAACGGCAUAGCUGGGUAGCUAUGUAUGGACGGGAUAAGUGCUGAAAGCAUCUAAGCAUGAAGCCCCCCUCGAGAUGAGAUUUCCCAACUUCGGUUAUAAGAUCCCUCAAAGAUGAUGAGGUGAAUAGGUUCGAGGUGGAAGCGUAGCGAUACGUGGAGCUGACGAAUACUA